GGGGAACGGAUUGCAGGCGGGCUGGACCUCUCGGGGUUACAGCCUUGCUGAAUUAUUCACCCUUGUCUUUUGCGUACUUCUUGUUUCCUUGGUGGGUUCGCCCACCACUAGGACAAACAUAAACCUUUUGUAAUUGCAAUCAGCGUCAGUAACAAAUUAAUAAUUACAACUUUCAACAACGGAUCUCUUGGUUCUGGCAUCGAUGAAGAACGCAGCGAAAUGCGAUAAGUAGUGUGAAUUGCAGAAUUCAGUGAAUCAUCGAAUCUUUGAACGCACAUUGCGCCCUUUGGUAUUCCAAAGGGCAUGCCUGUUCGAGCGUCAUUUGUACCCUCAAGCUUUGCUUGGUGUUGGGCGUCUUGUCUCUAGCUUUGCUGGAGACUCGCCUUAAAGUAAUUGGCAGCCGGCCUACUGGUUUCGGAGCGCAGCACAAGUCGCACUCUCUAUCAGCAAAGGUCUAGCAUCCACUAAGCCUUUUUUUCAACUUUUGACCUCGGAUCAGGUAGGGAUACCCGCUGAACUUAAG
RNAcentral lists this ribosomal RNA (523 nucleotides) under Alternaria sp. HL66. RNAcentral's name for it is "eukaryotic LSU rRNA". The stretch from base 168 to 321 matches the Rfam family "5.8S ribosomal RNA". The record is from RNAcentral. Lineage: Eukaryota; Fungi; Ascomycota; Dothideomycetes; Pleosporales; Pleosporaceae.